GAGGUUAAGCGACUAAGCGUACACGGUGGAUGCCCUGGCAGUCAGAGGCGAUGAAGGACGUGCUAAUCUGCGAUAAGCGCCGGUAAGGUGAUAUGAACCGUUAUAACCGGCGAUUUCCGAAUGGGGAAACCCAGUGUGACUCGUCACACUAUCAUUAACUGAAUCCAUAGGUUAAUGAGGCGAACCGGGGGAACUGAAACAUCUAAGUACCCCGAGGAAAAGAAAUCAACCGAGAUUCCCCCAGUAGCGGCGAGCGAACGGGGAGGAGCCCAGAGCCUGAAUCAGCAUGUGUGUUAGUGGAAGCGUCUGGAAAGGCGCGCGAUACAGGGUGACAGCCCCGUACACAAAAGCGCAUGUGCUGUGAGCUCGAUGAGUAGGGCGGGACACGUGGUAUCCUGUCUGAAUAUGGGGGGACCAUCCUCCAAGGCUAAAUACUCCUGACUGACCGAUAGUGAACCAGUACCGUGAGGGAAAGGCGAAAAGAACCCCGGCGAGGGGAGUGAAAAAGAACCUGAAACCGUGUACGUACAAGCAGUGGGAGCACCCUUUGGGGUGUGACUGCGUACCUUUUGUAUAAUGGGUCAGCGACUUAUAUUCUGUAGCAAGGUUAACCGAAUAGGGGAGCCGGAGGGAAACCGAGUCUUAAUUGGGCGUUAAGUUGCAGGGUAUAGACCCGAAACCCGGUGAUCUAGCCAUGGGCAGGUUGAAGGUUGGGUAACACUAACUGGAGGACCGAACCGACUAAUGUUGAAAAAUUAGCGGAUGACCUGUGGCUGGGGGUGAAAGGCCAAUCAAACCGGGAGAUAGCUGGUUCUCCCCGAAAGCUAUUUAGGUAGCGCCU
This 841-nucleotide ribosomal RNA is filed under the name Salmonella enterica. RNAcentral's name for it is "partial 23S ribosomal RNA". It matches the Rfam family "Bacterial large subunit ribosomal RNA", at positions 1 to 882 of the family's 2925-position model. Lineage: Bacteria; Pseudomonadati; Pseudomonadota; Gammaproteobacteria; Enterobacterales; Enterobacteriaceae. The record is from RNAcentral. RNAcentral also lists the same sequence under 1 other name.